CCUACGGGGGGCAGCAGUAAGGAAUAUUGGUCAAUGGAGGCAACUCUGAACCAGCCAUGCCGCGUGCAGGAAGACGGCCCUAUGGGUUGUAAACUGCUUUUAUUCGGGAAUAAACCCCUUUACGUGUAAAGGGUUGAAUGUACUGAAGGAAUAAGGAUCGGCUAACUCCGUGCCAGCAGCCGCGGUAAUACGGAGGAUCCAAGCGUUAUCCGGAUUUAUUGGGUUUAAAGGGUGCGUAGGCGGCCUGUUAAGUCAGGGGUGAAAGACGGUGGCUCAACCAUCGCAGUGCCCUUGAUACUGAUGGGCUUGAUUGCAGUUGAGGUAGGCGGAAUGUGACAAGUAGCGGUGAAAUGCAUAGAUAUGUCACAGAACACCGAUUGCGAAGGCAGCUUACUAAAGUGUAAAUGACGCUGAGGCACGAAAGCGUGGGGAUCAAACAG
Molecule: ribosomal RNA, 440 nt
Filed under: uncultured bacterium
Lineage: Bacteria
Description: bacterial SSU rRNA
Rfam family: Bacterial small subunit ribosomal RNA
Source: RNAcentral